UACGUAGGGUCCAAGCGUUAUCCGGAAUCAUUGGGCGUAAAGAGCUCGUAGGCGGUUCAGCAAGUCGGCUGUGAAAGUCCGAGGCUCAACCUCGGAAUUGCAGUCGAUACUGCUGUGACUCGAGUCCGGUAGAGGAGAGUGGAAUUCCCGGUGUAGCGGUGAAAUGCGCAGAUAUCGGGAGGAACACCAGUAGCGAAGGCGGCUCUCUGGGCCGGUACCGACGCUGAGGAGCGAAAGCUAGGGGAGCAAACAGG
Molecule: unclassified non-coding RNA, 254 nt
Filed under: uncultured Acidimicrobiia bacterium
Lineage: Bacteria; Bacillati; Actinomycetota; Acidimicrobiia
Description: contains 16S-23S intergenic spacer region
Rfam family: Bacterial small subunit ribosomal RNA
Source: RNAcentral